GAUCAACGCUGGCGGCGUGCUUAACACAUGCAAGUCGAACGAAGUUUUUCUUUCGGGAGGAACUUAGUGGCGGACGGGUGAGUAACGCGUGGGUAACCUGCCCUGUACAGGGGGACAACAGCUGGAAACGGCUGCUAAUACCGCAUAAGCCCUUAGCACUGCAUGGUGCAUAGGGAAAAGGAGCAAUCCGGUACAGGAUGGACCCGCGUCUGAUUAGCCAGUUGGCAGGGUAACGGCCUACCACAGCGACGAUCAGUAGCCGAUCUGAGAGGAUGUACGGACACAUUGAGACUGAGACGCGGCACAGACUCCUACGGGAGGCAGCAGUGGGGAAUAUUGCACCAUGGAGGAAACGCUGAUGCAGCGACGACGGGUGAGUGAAGAAGUAUUUCAGUAUGUAAAGCUCUAUCAGCAGGAAAGAAAAUGACGGUACCUGACGAAGAAGCACCGGCUAAAUACGUG
RNAcentral lists this ribosomal RNA (462 nucleotides) under uncultured bacterium. Its description in RNAcentral is "partial 16S ribosomal RNA". It matches the Rfam family "Bacterial small subunit ribosomal RNA", at positions 28 to 507 of the family's 1533-position model. The record is from RNAcentral.